GACGGGCGGGGCAAGUGUUCUUCGGAAUGACUGGGCGUAAAGGGCAGGUAGGCGGUGAAUCGGGUUGAAAGUGAAAGUCGCCAAAAAGUGGCGGAAUGCUCUCGAAACCAAUUCACUUGAGUGAGACAGAGGAGAGUGGAAUUUCGUGUGUAGGGGUGAAAUCCGUAGAUCUACGAAGGAACGCCAAAAGCGAAGGCAGCUCUCUGGGUCCCUACCGACGCUGGGGUGCGAAAGCAUGGGGAGCGAACAGG
RNAcentral lists this ribosomal RNA (251 nucleotides) under uncultured bacterium. RNAcentral describes it as "partial 16S ribosomal RNA". It matches the Rfam family "Bacterial small subunit ribosomal RNA", at positions 524 to 776 of the family's 1533-position model. The record is from RNAcentral.